RNAcentral lists this ribosomal RNA (253 nucleotides) under uncultured bacterium. RNAcentral's name for it is "partial 16S ribosomal RNA". It matches the Rfam family "Bacterial small subunit ribosomal RNA", at positions 524 to 776 of the family's 1533-position model. The record is from RNAcentral.
GACGUAGGGGGCCAGCGUUGCUCGGAAUAACUGGGCGUAAAGGGUUCGUAGGCGGUGUGGCAAGUCGGGAGUGAAAUCCUGAGGCUUAACUUCAGGACUGCUACCGAAACUGCCAUGCUCGAGUGCGGGAGAGGCGAGUGGAAUUGCAGGUGUAGCGGUGAAAUGCGUAGAUAUCUGCAGGAACACCAGUGGCGAAGGCGGCUCGCUGGACCGCAACUGACGCUGAGGAACGAAAGCUAGGGGAGCAAACAGG